UACGUAGGUGGCAAGCGUUGUCCGGAUUUACUGGGCGUAAAGAGCGUGUAGGCGGCCACGCAGGUCCGUUGUGAAAACUGGAGGCUCAACCUUCAGACGUCGACGGAAACCGUGUGGCUAGAGUCCGGAAGAGGAGAGUGGAAUUCCUGGUGUAGCGGUGAAAUGCGCAGAUAUCAGGAAGAACACCAAUGGCGAAGGCAGCUCUCUGGGACGGUACUGACGCUGAGACGCGAAAGCGUGGGGAGCGAACAGG
RNAcentral lists this ribosomal RNA (253 nucleotides) under uncultured bacterium. RNAcentral describes it as "partial 16S ribosomal RNA". It matches the Rfam family "Bacterial small subunit ribosomal RNA", at positions 524 to 776 of the family's 1533-position model. The record is from RNAcentral.